Molecule: ribosomal RNA, 635 nt
Filed under: Leuconostoc mesenteroides
Lineage: Bacteria; Bacillati; Bacillota; Bacilli; Lactobacillales; Lactobacillaceae
Description: bacterial SSU rRNA
Rfam family: Bacterial small subunit ribosomal RNA
Source: RNAcentral
CAAACCACCGAAUGUGCUUGCACCUUUCAGUGAGUGGCGAACGGGUGAGUAACACGUGGACAACCUGCCUCAAGGCUGGGGAUAACAUUUGGAAACAGAUGCUAAUACCGAAUAAAACUUAGUGUCGCAUGACAAAAAGUUAAAAGGCGCUUCGGCGUCACCUAGAGAUGGAUCCGCGGUGCAUUAGUUAGUUGGUGGGGUAAAGGCCUACCAAGACAAUGAUGCAUAGCCGAGUUGAGAGACUGAUCGGCCACAUUGGGACUGAGACACGGCCCAAACUCCUACGGGAGGCUGCAGUAGGGAAUCUUCCACAAUGGGCGAAAGCCUGAUGGAGCAACGCCGCGUGUGUGAUGAAGGCUUUCGGGUCGUAAAGCACUGUUGUAUGGGAAGAACAGCUAGAAUAGGAAAUGAUUUUAGUUUGACGGUACCAUACCAGAAAGGGACGGCUAAAUACGUGCCAGCAGCCGCGGUAAUACGUAUGUCCCGAGCGUUAUCCGGAUUUAUUGGGCGUAAAGCGAGCGCAGACGGUUUAUUAAGUCUGAUGUGAAAGCCCGGAGCUCAACUCCGGAAUGGCAUUGGAAACUGGUUAACUUGAGUGCAGUAGAGGUAAGUGGAACUCCAUGUGUAGCGGGUGG